GCUUGUGGGAUGCCCUCGUGUGUCCGCCAUCGGCUCCUCCCUUUAUUACAGCAUAAGCAUGUUUUGUUUCUUGCUCCCAAACAGCCCAUGAUUAACGUGCCAGGAUCUGCAAAAACACUCUGAGCGAGGCUGUGUAGCAAAGCCGUUUGGGCGAGGAAAAGGAGUCUCAGAUGGACUUUCACAUAAAGUUGGAGCUGAGAGAACAUCCAGACCUGCAGCUUUUUAAGAGUCUACUGUUAUCACAUCUGCAGGACCUUCAGGAAAUUGUAAGGAACUUCCAGUUUCCCU
Molecule: long non-coding RNA, 288 nt
Filed under: Chinchilla lanigera (long-tailed chinchilla)
Lineage: Eukaryota; Metazoa; Chordata; Mammalia; Rodentia; Chinchillidae
Description: lncRNA (ENSCLAG00000029257.1)
Source: RNAcentral